Molecule: ribosomal RNA, 460 nt
Filed under: uncultured bacterium
Lineage: Bacteria
Description: partial 16S ribosomal RNA
Rfam family: Bacterial small subunit ribosomal RNA
Source: RNAcentral
CCUACGGGAGACAGCAGUGAGGAAUAUUGGUCAAUGGCCGUAAGGCUGAACCAGCCAAGUCGCGUGAAGGAAGAAGGAUCUAUGGUUUGUAACCUUCUUUUUUAGGGGAAUAAAGGUAUCCACGUUUAGAUAUUAGCCUGUACUCUAUGAAUAAGCAUCGGCUAACUCCGUGCCAGGAGCCGCGGUAAUACGGAGGGUGCUAGCGUUAUCCGGAUUGAUUGGGUUUAAAGGGGGCGUAGGUUGUUUUUUAAGUCAGCGGUGAAAGUUUGUGGCUCAACCAUAAUAUUGCCGUUGAAACUGGAAGACUUGAGUGUGUUAGAGGUAGGCGGAAUGCGUGGUGUAGCGGUGAAAUGCAUAGAUAUGAGGCAGAACUCCGAUUGCGAAGGCAGCUUACUAAGCCAUAACUGACACUGAAGCACGAAAGCGUGGGGAUCAAACAGGAUUAGAUACCCCUGUAGUC